CUACGUGCCAGCAGCCGCGGUAAUACGUAGGGUGCGAGCGUUAAUCGGAAUUACUGGGCGUAAAGCGGGCGCAGACGGUUACUUAAGCAGGAUGUGAAAUCCCCGGGCUCAACCUGGGAACUGCGUUCUGAACUGGGUAACUAGAGUGUGUCAGAGGGAGGUAGAAUUCCACGUGUAGCAGUGAAAUGCGUAGAGAUGUGGAGGAAUACCGAUGGCGAAGGCAGCCUCCUGGGAUAACACUGACGUUCAUGCCCGAAAGCGUGGGUAGCAAACAGGAUUAGAUACCCUGGUAGUCCACGCCCUAAACGAUGUCGAUUAGCUGUUGGGCAGCUUGACUGCUUAGUAGCGAAGCUAACGCGUGAAAUCGACCGCCUGGGGAGUACGGUCGCAAGAUUAAAACUCAAAGGAAUUGACGGGGACCCGCACAAGCGGUGGAUGAUGUGGAUUAAUUCGAUGCAACGCGAAGAACCUUACCKGUCUUGACAU
Molecule: ribosomal RNA, 486 nt
Filed under: uncultured bacterium
Lineage: Bacteria
Description: bacterial SSU rRNA
Rfam family: Bacterial small subunit ribosomal RNA
Source: RNAcentral